AUCUUAAUAAAUAUCUAACAAUUAGUACUUCUCCAGGUUUUAUGCUGCAGAGGUUGUCAUUGGCUUGGAAUAUCUUCAAUGUUUAGGAAUAAUUUAUCGAGACUUGAAGCCUGAAAAGAUUUUACUCCAGAAAGAUGGGCAUAUAGUAUUAAGUGACUUUGAUUUAUCAUUCAUGACGUCCUGCAAACCCUGAAUUAUUAAGCAUCCACCACCUAAUAGGAGAAGAUCCAGGAGUCA
Molecule: long non-coding RNA, 237 nt
Organism: Pistacia vera
Lineage: Eukaryota; Viridiplantae; Streptophyta; Magnoliopsida; Sapindales; Anacardiaceae
Exons: 3
Source: RefSeq, a predicted model, not a curated record